GCUGAGCAUAGUGGCGCAUGCCUGUAAUCCCAGUGGCUCAGGAGGCUGAGGCAGGAGGAUUGCAAGUUCAAAGCCAGCCUCAGCAAAAGCAAGAUGUUAAGCAACUCAGUGAGACCUUGUCUCUA
Molecule: small RNA, 125 nt
Filed under: Marmota monax (woodchuck)
Lineage: Eukaryota; Metazoa; Chordata; Mammalia; Rodentia; Sciuridae
Source: RNAcentral